CAGACUUGUGGUUCAUCAAGUAGAUAUAGCCAUACCUACUCAAAUCGUAUGUGAAGGUGAGAAAAUAACGAUAUCCGCCGUGCACCUCUAUGCUCAUUGGUCCGCACACAUCAGUAUGUAUGAUCUCCAACAAGUCACUUGCACGCUCCAUUGUUCCAGAGAACAGAGUCUUAGUCAUCUUACCCAUGAGACAUGGUUCGCAUGUGUCAAGUGAUUCAAAAUCAAGUGACUCCAAAAUUCCAUCAGCAUGGAGUUUCUUCAUGCACUUAACACCAAUAUGACCGUUAGCAUAAGAACAAUAAAUCACCACUUUAGGUAUUGCUGUGAACUCAUGAGAUCCUUUAGUAUAAGAAAAAUAAAUCACCACUUUAGGUACUGUUGUGAACUCAUUCUUUAUUUAUAUUGGUGCAAUAUAUACUCUAUUCCAACUUCUUCAUGGUUCAUACCCCCCGAUACAACCCAUAGAUUCAUCAAAAUAAGCAAACAACACAAAGAAAACAGAAUCUGUCAAAAAGAGAACAAUGUGUAGCAAUCUAUAAACUUAGAAUACUUCUGUAACUCCAAAAAUUCUGAAAAUUUAGGAAAAUUGGGGCAAUUUGUAUAUCAAUAUUUUUUAAAAAUUUCAGAUCAAAAGCACAUUCCAGUGAAUUUACAAAUUCCUGGACUGCGAGCAAAAGUUUCUUUUUUUCAGCAAAAUCAAUUUGCAAACACCGUAGACAAUCACAAAGGUCUUACUUGGCUCAAACACUAAUUAAAACAAGAAUACACAAUUAUUACAGAGGUAAUAAUGUGUGCAGCACUCAAAAACAGAUGCAAAAACAAAACCAUAAAAAUAAAAUUGGGUUGCCUCCGAAGACAUGCUAUUGUUUAGUGCCCCUAGCUAGGCAUUGAUAAUUUUAAUGAUGCUCUCACGAAAGACAAGAAUUGAAGCACAAAAAGAGCAUCAUAUAGCAUGUCAAAAUCACAUUUAAGUCUAACAUACUUCUUAUGCAUAGGCAUUUUAUAAGAAAAUAAAUUAUCAAGGUAACCAAAAACUAGCAUAUGCAAGGGAGAAGAAUAAAGCAUUCACAAUCUCAACAUAACGAGAGGUAUAUUAGUAAUAUGAAAAUUUCUAGGAACAUAUUUUCCUCUCUCAUAAUAAUUGCAUGUAAGAUCAUACUCAAAUCCUUCUUACUACUUCUUGAGUUUGCGUUGGGUUUUCCCUUGAAGAGGAAAGAGUGAUGCAGCAAAGUAGAUAAGUAUUUCCCUCAGUUUGUUGAUAACCAAGAUAUCAAUCCAGUAGGAGGAACAAGCAAGGCCCCAAUGUUAGCACGUACACAAACAAUCAAACACUUGCACCCAACGCUAAAAAGGGGUUGUCAAUCCCUUCACGGUUAUUUGUAAGGAUGAGAUCUCAUAGAGAUAGAUAUAAAAGAUUGCUAGAACUAAAAGUAAAACAAAAGUAAAUAAAUGGCAAAAAUAUAUUUUUGGUAUUUUUGGUUUAUAGAUCUGAAAGUGUAAUAUGGAAAAUAGACCCGGGGGCCAUAGAUUUCACUAGAGGCUUCUCUCAUGAAAGAAAAUAAUACGGUGGGUGAACAAAUUACUGUCGAGCAAUUGAUAGAAAAGCGAAUAAUUAUGAAGAUAUCCAAGGCAAUGGUUAUGCAUAUAGGCAUCACGUCCGUGUCAAGUAGACCGAAACGAUUCUGCAUCUACUACUAUUACUCCACACAUCGACCGACUCCUGCCUGCAUCUAGAGUAUUAAGUUCAUGAAGAACAGAGUAACACAUUAGGUAAGAUGACAUGAUGUAGAGGGAUAAUCUCAAGCAAUAUGAUGAAAAACCCAUCUUUUUAUCCUCGAUGGCAACAAUGCAAUACGUGCCUCGCUGCCCCUACUUUGUCACUGGGUGAGGACACCGCAAGAUUGAACCCAAAACUAAGCACUUCUCCAAUUGCAAGAAUUAACAAUCUAGUUGGCCAAACCAAACUAAUAUCUCGAAGAGACUUGAUAACAUAUGAAAUCAUGCAUAUAAGAAUUCAGAGAAGAUUCAAAUAAUAUUCAUAGAUAAUCUGAACAUAAACCCACAAUUCAUCGGAUCUUGACAAACACACCGCAAAAGAGUAUUACAUCGGAUAGAUCUCCAUGAAGAUCAUGAAGAACAUGGUAUUGAAGAACAUGGUAUUGAAGAACAAAGAGAGAGAAUAAGCCAUCUAGCUACUAGCUAUGGACCCGUAGGUCUGUGGUGAACUACUCACACAUCAUCGGAGGGUCAAUGGGGUUGAUGUAGAUGCCCUCCGUGAUCGAUUCCCCCUCCGACAGAUUACCGUUAAAGGCUCCUAGGUUGGAUCUCACGGGAACAGAGGCUCCCGACGGCGGAAAACUAUUUUGUGGUAUUGGGGGAAUAUUUGGGAAUAUAUAGGACGAAGAUUAGGGUUAGGAGGCUUGCAGGGGGCCCACAAGCCACGGGGCGCGCCCUGCAGGCUUGUCGUCUCCCGGCAGGUCUCCUGCCCCCUUCUCCAAGGUUGGCAGGUUUCUUCUAGUCCAAGAAAAAUCAUUCGACAUAUUUUAUUCUGUUUGGAUUCCGUUUAAUAUUUCUUAUUUGCAAUACUCAAAAACAUGGAAAAAACAGAAACUGGCACUAGGCUCUAGAUUAAUAGGUUAGUCCCAAAAAUAAUAUAAAAUAGCAUAUUAAUGCAUAUAAAACAUCCAAAACAGAUAAUAUAAUAGCGUGGAACAACCAAAAAUUAUAGAUACGUUGGAGAUGUAUCAGUAUUCACCAUGUGUUAGUGCUUUGUUCCGGUUCUCUAUUAAAAGGAGGCAUUAAUAUCCCUUUCCUUAUGGACCCCUCUGCCUCGGGAGGGUUGGACAAAAGAUGUCAUGUAGUUUCUUACUAUAAGCAUGCAUGACUAUAUAUGAAAUACAUGCCUACAUUACAUUGAUGAAUUGGAGCUAGUUCUGUGUUGUUCUAGUAUGUAACUGUUACAUAAUGAAUGUCAUCCAAUAUAAUUAUCCAUCACCGAUCCAAUGCCUACACUUUUCGUAUAUUGAUCUCCGUCAAGUUACUAUUGUUGCUGCUAUUGUUACAACCAUCAUAAUCGCUACUCUUAUAUCCCUACUACUAUUGUUAUCGUGCUACUAAAACUUUGGUGUAGAAAGAAAUUUCAGGUGUGGUUGAAUUGCAAACUCAACUGCUAAGUGUUGGAAAUAUGCCCUAGAGGCAAUAAUAAAUUAGUUAUUAUUAUAUUUCUUUGUUCAUGAUAAUCGUUUAUUAUCCAUGCUAUAAUUGUAUUGAUUGGAAACACAAUACUUGUGUGGAUACAUAGACAAAACACUGNNNNNNNNNNNNNNNNNNNNNNNNNNNNNNNNNNNNNNNNNNNNNNNNNNNNNNNNNNNNNNNNNNNNNNNNNNNNNNNNNNNNNNNNNNNNNNNNNNNNCUCUGUUCGUCAUGAACUCAAUACACUAGAUGCAUGCUGGAUAGCGGUUGAUGUGUGGAGUAAUAGUAGUAGAUGCAGAAAGUUCAGUCUACUUGUCUCGGACGUGAUGCAUAUAUGUAUGAUCAUUGCCUUAGAUAUCGUCAUGACUUUGCGCGGUUCUAUCAAUUGCUCGACAGUAAUUUGUUCACCCACCGUAAUAUUUGCUAUUUUGAGAGAAGCCUCUAGUGAACACUAUGGCCCCCGGGUCUACUCCAUACCAUAUUUUCAGCCUUACACUUUUUCUUCGUUGCACUUUCCGCCUUCAGAUCUCACUUUGCAAUCAAUCUUGAAGGGAUUGACAACCCCUUUAUAGCGUUGGGUGCAAGCUCUUUGUGUUUGUGCAGGUACACUGGACUUGACGAGAUUCUCCUGCUGGAUUGAUACCUUGGUUCUCAAACUGAGGGAAAUACUUACUGCUCCUGUGCGGCAUCACCCUUUCCUCUUCAAGGGGAAAACUGACGCAAGCAAGUCUCCGUCAACGUGUCAAUUUUUGGCGCUGUUGUUUGAGAAGUAGCACGGCUCUGCUCCCGCAGCCCCUCGUGCGGCUCCCUGCAACCACGGUGACGCACCAGGGCAGGUCUCGGCCCUCCCUCGCGCGGCGGCUACCUUGCCGUGGCGAGGAGGGCUCAGAUCUGGCCGCCGCGCGCGCCUUGCCGCCGCUCCUUGCCACCGCGCGCGCCUUGCCGCCGAUCCUUUCCCCUGUUUCCUUGUCCCGUGCCUUAGGCCUAUGGCGCCGUGGCCACCCCUUCGCCGGUGGUAGGUUUCCCUUAGCGGAAGCGCACCGCCGUCGAACGGCAUGCUUGCGGUGCCCUUUUUCUUUUUCCUUUUGCCUAGCACCACCACGACCAGAGAAGGUUCUAGAUGUGUGACGCGAUGGCGCCGUCUCGGUCCCGUUUGCCGGCGUGCGCGAGCACCUCUAGGGGUGAAUGUGCCUCCUUCAAACGGCUCGGUGGUGGCACCCUUUGCCCCGGGAGGGGUGGAUUUGCUUUGUCUUUGUCGUAUCUUUGCAUGUCCCCUUUUCAUUUUUCUUUGUUUGCCUUUUUGGAUCCAAUCCGAUUUCUUUGUUUGUUUUCCUUUUGGAUCUAAUGAGAUCCAUACUUUGCCUCCGAGGAGGUAGGUUCUUCUUCCCCACACCUCGGCUUGCCGAUGCGUGUGGGGAUCGAGAGGAACAGGCGCGGCCUUGCGGCGACGCUUCUUUGCCGACGAGGCCCGAGGCCAUCUUCAGUGCUUUUGGGGAGGGGAAUAUUUUUCUCUUUCGUUUCUUUGACCGAAACGUAUCUAGUGCCCAACCUCGCUCUCGUACCAUUGAUAGAACACAUGGAUCUUCUAGGCAUAGAUAUACCCAUAGAACGCGUAGCUUUACCUUCUCCCGAGCUGGAUGACCUCCCGCCGGUCUCCAUCGGUGCGGUAGCGAUGGCGGUGAUGACACAGAAGGGUCUAGCAUGGGUGAAGCUUCCCGUGAGCACCGCGCUAAACCUAGAUCGGAUUGGUAUGUUGGUAGGGGUGUGGCGACGGGGAACCUCGUAAGUCAUGCCCCGACACCUCACAUUUCUUUAUAUAGCGCGGGUCACAGGGACCCACCAACAUAAUGGUUUGGACGCCCUCAAUCAGCACGCAUAGAUCAAGGCCCGGUGGACCGUUGGGCCCACGCGGUGAAAGAUCAACCUAACAUCUAGGACUUGUUCUUGCCGGAGGCGGAGGCGUCGGUCCCCGGGCCCUUGCUGGCGACGAGGUCGAGGUCCUCGUCGGUGUAGCCGUCGGCGUCCUCCCAGGUGAACUUGCCGUCGCGACCACCCUUCUUGGCGUCACCGCUCAUCCCGGACCCCGACUUGCGGUCGCUGCGGCCUUGCGAUGCCUUGCGGUCGUCCCGACCCUGCUUCUUCCCGCCGUCCAUCGCCGGACCAUCUCCUCCUCCCUUCCUUUUUAGCUCUGGAAGAAACAAGAUCAAGAGCUAGCGAGCAACGAGGAUGGAUGGAUGGAAACUAGUAGUAUGCGAUGCGCAUCUGCUUCGGUUUGCUCUGAUUUGAUUUCGUCGCGCACAGCAAUUGCAGGCUGUUUGGUUUCUCCCUGACCGAUCAGAAGGCACUGGGAGGAGCAGGUGAGGAUGGCGCCAAGGAAGGGGAACUGCGUUGGGCCAGGCGGGGGUGGCGGUGCAGGCGCACCUGCGAGGAGCUUCGUUGACUUGCUUCAUUUGAGGCACAACAAUGCGACACAGAGCAGCGAGAUGCACACUGACAAUAGCGCCUGGACUCGGAGUGGAAACGCUAUGGUGCAUGACGCCUUUGCCGCUUGGGUAGCAACGACAGACCCACUGACAUUUCUAUGUGAGCUCCAACGCGAGCUAGUUAGAUGAAUAUGGAGAGAGACGUCACGGCACACCGGCGUUUCUACGUGCAGCAACAACGCACGGGUUGUGGUGUUUCUAAAAAGGGACUGCUAGCCGUCUACCGGUGGAUUUGUAGUAAUCAUCUGCCACUUUUUUAACCAUCCGAUAUACACGCAUGCAUCGUUCGAUCUGUUUCUGCCCAAACACAUAAAAUCCUAAAACAACGUUCCAGUUGCAGAAACAAGCACGCUGCUAUGCGUCCGCCUGACGAGUUAAAAAAUGACUGACAGGUCUUUUGCAACAUAGAUUAUGUUGCAAUUUUUUUUGUAACAGAGAGCAUGUUGCGAAAACGUCCGUAGAUUUUUUUUUGCGAUAGAACUUGUUAUAGAAUAUUUUUUGCAACAAGGAUCGUGUUGCAGAAACUUUUGAAACAAAAGUCAUGUUGCAGAAAACUUUUGCAACAUAGGCCAGGCUGCAGAAAACUUUUACAACAAAAGAUAUUUAUUUCAAUUUUUUGAAACACAGACCAAGUUGGGGAAACUCCUCGCCGCGCGCGUGCACGCCUGAACGUCAGCCAUGAUUAUAAGCGUGAGGCAAAAAGUACAUAUAGACACGUGUUGGAUGCAGGAGGCGGCGGACGCACUGAGUGUGAUCCGUCGGCGGAAUCAUAGUGUUUUCCUUUAAAAAAGGUCAGAUCUUGAAAUAGUUUCGAACAUAUUUUAUUGUGUGCUAUAGUUUCAGAUUAAGGUCACAACAGUGAAAAAGUCCAUUUUUCACCGGUCUUUCAUAAGUUUUGGACGAUUUUUUUUCGCGAAAAAACGCGUUUUCUAUUUUUUUUACACAAAAAACAUGUUUUCUAUUUUUUUGCGAGAGGCAUGGUUUUGCUUCCGCGAGAGGCACGAUUUUGCCUGCGCGAAAGGCACAACCGUGCCUUUUGGAAAGAAAAAAAAGUUUUUUUGUUUUUUUGCGAGAGGCACGGUUUGCUUCUGCGAAAGACACGGUUUUGCCAUCGCGAGAGGCACGCCCGUGCCUUUCGGAAAGGGAAAAAUGCAUUUUCUGUUUUUUUUGCGAGAGGCAUGAUUUUGCUUUCGCGAAAGGCACGGUUUUGUCUUCGCGAGAGGCACGCCCGUGCCUCUCCCGAAAGGGAAAAACACGUCUUUUUUUUUUUGUGAGAGGCACGGCUUUGCUUCCGCGAAAGGCACAAUUUUGCCUUCGCGAGUGGCACGCCUGUGCCUCUCCCAAAAAGAAUAAAAGAACGCAUUUUCUGCUCUCUUUUUUUCCACGAGAGGCACGGUUUUACUUUCACGAGAGGCACGGUUUUGCCUUCGCGAGAGGCACGACCCGUGCCUCUCGGAAAAGAAAUAAAACACGAAAACAGUUUUUUUCUAUCGCGUGAGGCAUAGUUUUUUCGUGAGUUUUUUUGUCAAAACCUAUUAACAUGGAAUCUAGUUUUGAAGAUCCCGACGCGAAAAGCCAACGGUGAAAAUGGUUUAAGAUUUGGACGUACGGUUUAGGUGAUAAAAUGUUUUGAAAAUACGGAUCUGUGAAGGUGACACGCAUGCAGUGCGUCACUUGUCGCAAACUAUGAAGGUGGAAGUAACCGUUGAAAGAUGUAUUCGCUAACUAGUGAUUUCAGAUGAACGCGAGACCGGAGCUCUUAGUCAGCCCCUCUUAUGCUAACUAGCGCGGCUGGCCCUCACGCGCGCGUUAACGGGCCGAGGCCUAUUAAGUGCGUCUAUGCUCGCUGGCUAAGGGUCUUCCCUCGCUUACUCGGCUCUUUGUAGUUGACGGUGAAGUUGACCAGGCUGGUUGAGUUGAACUUCUGUUCGAAACAAAUUUGUAAAAAACAUGCAAGAAUCAGAAAAGUUCAUCAAAUUCGACGAAAGGUGGCAAAUUUGAAAAAUGUUCAUUAAUUUGGAAGAAAAGUUGCCUAAUUUGUAAAGAAAAUUUCAUUAAUUUUGAAAAAAACUUCACAGAUUUAUAAAAAGUUCAGAAGUUUUUCAAAAUAUUCAUGUAUUUUUGUAAAAAAAUUACGAGUUUUAAAAAGGUUCAUUGAUUUUGAAAAAAUCCACAUUUUUUUUAAAGUUCAUCAAGUUUUUAAAAAAACCAUCGAUUCUGAAAAAAGUUCAUCGUUUUUUAAAGAGAAGUUUAUCGUGUUUGAAAGAAGUUCAUUUAUUUUUAACAAAAAUCAUAAAAAACUGAAAAAAACCAUCAAAUAUAAAAAAAAAGUUCAUCUAAAUUAAGAAAAGUUCAUUGAUUUGAAAAAAGUACAUUAGAAUUGAAAAUGUUGUGCAUUUCUGGAAAAGGAAAAAACAGGUACAAAAGAAAAGAAAAAAAGAGUAAAUAAAAUAAAUAUAAAAAGUAAAAAUGGAAAAUCGAACAAAAAACAUACCGAAAAAAACCUAACAAAAAAAACCGACUAGGAAAACUUUUGGCAGCUUCGCAAAUCUAGAAAUAGCUCACUUCCGCUUGGACCUAGAUGCGCUGGCCCGCUUUGGAACGCUUCAAGCAUUAGUUAACGAAAUGCAUGUUAAUGGGUGCGUGUAACACCAAAUAGGCAUCACCGACAUAGACACGGAAAAUGGGCCCCAAUAAAGAAAACGAAACAAAAAUAUGGGUCACGAGACGAAAUGCCCUGUCAUUGUCCUCCUAUACAACAUGCUGAGAUAGGCCAUAAAAUACGAGAGAAACGAAACAAAAACAUGGGUUGCAAGAGUAAAACGAAAAAGGGCCUCGAUGCAAGUAGAUCGGAUGGUUGACGCGGUCAAUGAGGCCAAACAAAAAACUCAGCUAUGGCUCAGCUUCAGUCAUCCCAAAAUAACCCCCUCUUCUAUAAUGAAAAAGCAGAGUUCCUGCUGUUUCCGUCAAAAAGAAAUUGAGAGCCAAUCAGAGAAAAAAGGAGCAAACAAACCACCCGACUUGGUAGCCAAGCUUCACAUCACAUUUGCUUGGUAAGAAUCAAACACUUUUCCACUGUUUGAACGAAAACAUUGAAAUGACUUUUUAGACUUUAUUCCAGGUCAGACAACAAGCAUGCACGAAUGAAAUGUGUACAUUUGGUUGACACACAUACCAAUUAUUGCACUGAACAAUAAAAGAUGAAUUCAUCCUUACGUCCAUGAUCACACGCACAUCAGAUGCCACACCCACACUUGUAGUGUAUAUCCUCUCGUGGUCUCCCCCUAAUAUCAAUUGAUGAACGCACAACGCUUCCGGACUUCUCCCUUGGAGGGGUCCGUUAUCACCCUUAUGUUCCCCAUCUUGAUCAUGGAAUUUGCGAAGGCCUUGAAGAAGGCGUCCUGGCUGCCCGCGAACCGGUCGACGAUUGGCGCCGUUGUCCCCACCGCGAGUGGGUCUGACUUGAGUUCCUGGUCGGAUUGGAGGAAGCCACGAUUCACCUUCAGGUUGGUGAAGUAGUUCUUGUCGAACUUGUCGGGUGUUGUCGGGUCGAGGUCGUUCAGGGACUGACCGUUGCCGUUCAUUGGGCAUCGCUGGGACAGGAAGGCCCUAUAGCUCGGGCUGAGGGUCGGGUCGGGCCGGUUCGUCCCAUUAAAGUUGUACAAUCUAUCGGUGACAAACUGGCAUUGCACACGACCGAAAGUGUGUGCGCCUACACAUUUAAAACAAAAAUAAGGUUAAUAUUAAAGAUGAAACAAGGACCAUGUAUAAGAAUUCUCUCGAUUUAUAUAUCGGUAUUUAAACUUGGGUUUCUUCUGGAGUUCUUAUGAUCAGUUUUUUCUUGAGUUUUAUUAUCGCUUAUAUAUCUUUCAUCGUCAAUAGUAUAUACAUAUAUUCUCACAAAAAGUGAGGUGUGUAUAUAUAUAUAUGAAGGUAGAAUUACAGAGAGGAGAGGCCGGAGUGCUAUCUUCUUUUUCAUCAAACGAAAAAGUACAAAGACGGUGUCCUGAAAGUAGUGUUAAGGUUUCUAAUUUCGGAAGCAAAAUAAUUUUAGACUUCACCGAAAUAUCUUAAAUUUUGAAACUUUCACAUAUUUUGGAAAUUAUUUCCGCUUUUCAGAUUUCAAUUUUCACUCAAUUUUAAUGAGUUCUAACGUUAUUUUCUAUUAUUUUGAAAUCAGUUUGAAUCCGCCUCGAAAUUUCGGGAUAAAUAUAUUCCAAACCCCGCUGAAAUAGGCAAAAGUUCGUUGAAUUUUGAACCCACCGUUACAUCAAGUUUAUUGACAGUAUUUAUAGUAUCUUUGGAUGUAGUUGUGCUUGUGCGCGAGCUUGGUUACCUGAGAGAGCGACGAGGUCGGUAGUACCGUCAAGCGUGGCGAGUUUGAACUUGUCUGUCAGGUUUUUCAGGCCGUCGAAUGGGCCUGGUAGGUUCCCGGCUUCCGUAAAGUUGGACGUGAAGCCGUCCAGCCUCCCCAGCAAGACGCUCCACCCAGGUCCUCCAGACUGCAUACGCAUAUAUGCCAACUUAAUUAGCGUCCAUUCCUUUGUUACCAUCGACUUUUGCUUGGACAGUUGCAUGCAAAUAUGGCGAAUCCUAACUCAUAUCCUCUACGUUCAGUUGCAUAUGCAUGCAUGUAUAUAUGAUCGUUGUGCUAUAUGCAGGCACUGAGGGAGAACACUCGUUAAACCACGCAGGCCGAAAGCUACAUAGGACCUACUACUACCAAUCAUGCUCGUGGAAAUGGAACUCGAAAAAGGAAAAA
This 10437-nucleotide long non-coding RNA is filed under the name Hordeum vulgare. RNAcentral's name for it is "long non-coding RNA (HVUL_LNC000575)". Lineage: Eukaryota; Viridiplantae; Streptophyta; Magnoliopsida; Poales; Poaceae. The record is from RNAcentral.